Molecule: ribosomal RNA, 496 nt
Filed under: uncultured bacterium
Lineage: Bacteria
Description: partial 16S ribosomal RNA
Rfam family: Bacterial small subunit ribosomal RNA
Source: RNAcentral
GAUGAACGCUGGCGGCGUGCCUAAUACAUGCAAGUAGAACGCUGAAGGAAGGAGCUUGCUCUUUCCGGAUGAGUUGCGAACGGGUGAGUAACGCGUAGGUAACCUGCCUGGUAGCGGGGGAUAACUAUUGGAAACGAUAGCUAAUACCGCAUAACAGUAGAUGUUGCAUGAUAUCUACUUAAAAGGUGCAAUUGCACCACUACCAGAUGGACCUGCGUUGUAUUAGCUAGUUGGUGAGGUAACGGCUCACCAAGGCGACGAUACAUAGCCGACCUGAGAGGGUGAUCGGCCACACUGGGACUGAGACACGGCCCAGACUCCUACGGGAGGCAGCAGUAGGGAAUCUUCGGCAAUGGACGGAAGUCUGACCGAGCAACGCCGCGUGAGUGAAGAAGGUUUUCGGAUCGUAAAGCUCUGUUGUAAGAGAAGAACGAGUGUGAGAGUGGAAAGUUCACACUGUGACGGUAUCUUACCAGAAAGGGACGGCUAACUACGG